Molecule: non-coding RNA, 391 nt
Filed under: Capsicum annuum
Lineage: Eukaryota; Viridiplantae; Streptophyta; Magnoliopsida; Solanales; Solanaceae
Description: Eukaryotic large subunit ribosomal RNA
Rfam family: Eukaryotic large subunit ribosomal RNA
Source: Rfam by way of RNAcentral
ACAGUGUCGCAAUAGUAAUUCAACCUAGUACGAGAGGAACCGUUGAUUCACAUAAUUAGUCAUCGCGCUUGGUUGAAAAGCCAGUGGCGUGAAGCUACCGUGUACUGGAUUAUGACUGAAUGCCUCUAAGACAGAAUCCAGGCUAGAAGCAAUGCAUGCGCCCACCGUCCGCUUGCCGACCCGCAGUAGGGGCCUCGGCCUCCAAGGGCACGUGUCGUUACCUAAGCUGCCGCGGUGGAAGGGUUGCGGUGGCCGCCUUGAAGUACAAUUUCCAUCGAGCGGCGGGUAGAAUCCUUUGCAGAUGACUUAAAUACGCGACGGGGUAUUGUAAGUGGUAGAGUGGCCUUGCAGCCACGAUCCACUAAGAUUCAGCCUUUUGUUGCUCCGGUUC